UAAUACGUAGGGGGCUAGCGUUGUCCGGAAUCAUUGGGCGUAAAGAGCGCGUAGGCGGCUGGAUUAGUCCGGUGUGAAAGUCACAGGCUUAACCUGUGAAUGCCGCUGGAAACUGUCUGGCUAGAGUCCGGAAGGGGCGAGUGGAAUUCCUGGUGUAGCGGUGAAAUGCGCAGAUAUCAGGAGGAACACCAAUGGCGAAGGCAGCUCGCUAGGACGGUACUGACGCUGAGGCGCGAAAGCGUGGGGAGCAAACAGGAUUAGAUACCCUGGUAGUCCACGCUGUAAACGAUGGGCACUAGGUGUGGGAGGUGUCGACUCCUCCCGUGCCGUAGCUAACGCACUAAGUGCCCCGCCUGGGGAGUACGGCCGCAAGGCUA
This 377-nucleotide ribosomal RNA is filed under the name uncultured bacterium. Its description in RNAcentral is "bacterial SSU rRNA". It matches the Rfam family "Bacterial small subunit ribosomal RNA", at positions 521 to 896 of the family's 1533-position model. The record is from RNAcentral.